This 800-nucleotide ribosomal RNA is filed under the name uncultured bacterium. RNAcentral's name for it is "bacterial SSU rRNA". It matches the Rfam family "Bacterial small subunit ribosomal RNA", at positions 8 to 805 of the family's 1533-position model. The record is from RNAcentral.
AGAGUUUGAUCCUGGCUCAGAUUGAACGCUGGCGGCAUGCCUUACACAUGCAAGUCGAACGGCAGCACGGGGGCAACCUGGUGGCGAGUGGCGAACGGUGAGUAAUAUAUCGGAACGUACCCAGUAGUGGGGGAUAACUAUCCGAAAGGAUAGCUAAUACCGCAUACGAUCUGUGGAUGAAAGCAGGGGAUCUUCGGACCUUGUGCUAUUGGAAUGGCCGAUAUCUGAUUAGCUAGUUGGUAGGGUAAAAGCCUACCAAGGCGACGAUCAGUAGCUGGUCUGAGAGGACGACCAGCCACACUGGAACUGAGACACGGUCCAGACUCCUACGGGAGGCAGCAGUGGGGAAUUUUGGACAAUGGGGGCAACCCUGAUCCAGCAAUGCCGCGUGAGUGAAGAAGGCCCUCGGGUUGUAAAGCUCUUUUGUCAGGGAAGAAACGGUGAUCUCUAAUAUAGAUUGCUAAUGACGGUACCUGAAGAAUAAGCACCGGCUAACUACGUGCCAGCAGCCGCGGUAAUACGUAGGGUGCAAGCGUUAAUCGGAAUUACUGGGCGUAAAGCGUGCGCAGGCGGUUUUGUAAGUCUGAUGUGAAAUCCCCGGGCUCAACCUGGGAACUGCAUUGGAGACUGCAAGGCUAGAGUGUGUCAGAGGGGGGUAGAAUUCCACGUGUAGCAGUGAAAUGCGUAGAGAUGUGGAGGAAUACCGAUGGCGAAGGCAGCCCCCUGGGAUAACACUGACGCUCAUGCACGAAAGCGUGGGGAGCAAACAGGAUUAGAUACCCUGGUAGUCCACGCCCUAA